UGAAGGAGCUUGGAGUAUGAGAGAAGGACGGAGCAGGCGGUGCCUUCAACAUCACAGGUGCAACCUCUGCAAAGCUGGAGAGUUAGUGUGCCAGAAUAGGAGCAGACUGAAGCCUGACAGAAAAUACGUUUUUUAAAUAAAAAUUUAUGACACAUCA
Melanotaenia boesemani (Boeseman's rainbowfish) is the source of this 157-nucleotide long non-coding RNA. RefSeq lists it as uncharacterized. The transcript is spliced from 2 exons. The record is from RefSeq and is a predicted model, not a curated record. Lineage: Eukaryota; Metazoa; Chordata; Actinopteri; Atheriniformes; Melanotaeniidae.